UUCUGUGUUCACAGGAAUCUGCGGGCGGAGCCUCAGGAGGCAGCGGGAACAGCUCCGGCUGGUCUGCAAAGCCCUUGAAGACAUGGCAGAUGACGUCAGUCCUGCCAUCAGUCGCCUGGCACUUCAAACCUCCUACAUCCUCCGGGCAGUAGACAGAUCUCGAUAUUCCAUGUUCGCGAACCUUCAAGAUGAGCUCCGCAGGGUAUGGAGGACACGGCCUCGACUGUCAGGCCUCGGCUGGCUGCGGUGCUGCUGGAAUUCUGGAGAAAACUGAUCCGGGACACCCUGUCUGCUUGGGGCCACCCGAGCCAAUGGGGAUUUUCUUUUUCCUCAUGACUGUUCUUUUCUUCUUCUAAUUUUUAUUUACCGUAUAAAUAUAGGAUGUGUUAUAAUA
Molecule: long non-coding RNA, 394 nt
Organism: Hirundo rustica (Barn swallow)
Lineage: Eukaryota; Metazoa; Chordata; Aves; Passeriformes; Hirundinidae
Exons: 2
Source: RefSeq, a predicted model, not a curated record